Molecule: ribosomal RNA, 253 nt
Filed under: uncultured bacterium
Lineage: Bacteria
Description: partial 16S ribosomal RNA
Rfam family: Bacterial small subunit ribosomal RNA
Source: RNAcentral
UACGGGGGGGGCAAGCGUUGUUCGGAAUUACUGGGCGUAAAGGGCUCGUAGGCGGCCAACUAAGUCGGACGUGAAAUCCCCAGGCUCAACCUGGGAACUGCGUCCGAUACUGGAUGGCUUGAAUCCGGGAGAGGGAUGCAGAAUUCCAGGUGUAGCGGUGAAAUGCGUAGAUAUCGGAAGGAACAUCAGUGGCGAAGGCGACUUCCUGGCCCGAUACUGACGCUGAGGCGCGAAAGCUAGGGGAGCAAACGGG